GAAGCGUAACAGCUCACUGGUCGACGCCCUGCCGCGCCCAAAAUUAUCGGGGCUAAGCGCGCCGCCGAAGCCGUGGAUUCCAUAGCGAUAUGGAGUGGUAGGAGAGCGUCCCGUAUGCCUGGGAAGGCGGCAGGCGAUUGCCGCUGGAGGCAUCGGGAAUGAGAAUGCUGGCAUGAGUAUGCGAAAACGCGGGUGGAAAGCCCGCGCACCGAUAGCCCGAGGGUUCCCGGGGAAGGUUAGUCCGCCCGGGGUCAGCCGGUCCCUAAGGCGAAGCCGAGAGGCGCGACCGAUGGGAAGGGGGCAAAUAUUCCCCCGCCGGCAUGGAGGCGUCUGACCGAUGCGGCGACGCGCGGGUCGGGGCAUAGCGGCUGAUGGAUAUGCCGCGGAAGUGGAGCAAGGCGUCAGGGCGGCAAAUCCCCCUGGCAUAAGCCUGAGACUACUGACCGGGGGAGGGCUUCGGCCCGAGCCCGAGCUGCCCGUGCCCGCGCCAGGAAAACCCGCUAAGGGAGCUUUCAUGCCGACCGUACCCCAAACCGACACAGGUGGGCUGGGCGAGAAGCCCGAGGUGCUUGAGACAACCCGGGAGAAGGAACUCGGCAAAAUGGCCCCGUAACUUAGGGAAAAGGGGCGCCCUCCGUCGUGAGCGGGAACACCGCGGAGCGAUGGGGGGCCGCAGUGAAAUGGCAGGAGCGACUGUUUACCAAAAACACAGGGCCAUGCGAACCAGCAAUGGGAAGUAUAUGGUCUGACACGUGCCCGGUGCCGGAAGGUUAACGGGAGGCGUCAGGGGGCAACCCCGAAGCGGCGAACCGAAGCCCCGGUAAACGGCGGCCGUAACUAUAACGGUCCUAAGGUAGCGAAAUUCCUUGUCGGGUAAGUUCCGACCUGCACGAAUCGUGUAACGACUCCUGCGCUGUCUCCUCCCGAGACUCAGCGAAAUUGCAGUGCCGGUGAAGAUGCCGGCGCCCCGCGCCUGGACGGAAAGACCCCAUGAACCUUCACUGCAUCUUGGCGUUGGCUUUAGGCGCCGCGUGCGUAGGAUAGGCGGGAGGCUACGAUCCCCGGCUUCUGGGCCGGGGGGAGCCGUCCUUGAAAUACCGCCCCUGCGUCGCCUGAGGCCUAACCGCGCAUCCGAGAAGGAUGCCGGGACAGUGCCUGGUGGCCAGUUUGACUGGGGCGGUCGCCUCCCAAAAAGUAACGGAGGCAUCCAAAGGUCACCUCGGGCCGGUCGGCAACCGGUCCCGCGAGCGCAAAGGCAAAAGGUGGCUUGACUGCGAGACCGACGGGUCGGGCAGAUGCGAAAGCAGGGCUUAGUGAUCCCGCGGCACAGCGUGGAACGGCCGUUGCUCAAUGGAUAAAAGGUACUCUGGGGAUAACAGGCUGAUCUCCCCCAAGCGUCCAUAGCGACGGGGAGGUUUGGCACCUCGAUGUCGGCUCGUCGCAUCCUGGGGCUGGAGAAGGUCCCAAGGGUUUGGCUGUUCGCCAAUUAAAGCGGCACGCGAGCUGGGUUCAGAACGUCGUGAGACAGUUCGGUCCCUAUCCGGCGCGGGCGUGGUAGGUUUGAGGGACGCCGUCCUUAGUACGAGAGGACCGGGACGGGGGCGCCUCCGGCGCACCGGCUGUCGCGCCAGCGGCACGGCCGGGUAGCCGCGCGCCCUGCGGAGAAGCGCUGAAUGCAUCUAAGCGCGAAACCGCUCCCAAGAUGAGACCUUCCGGAUACGCCGGAGAACACGGCGUGGAUAGGGGGCAGGCGAAAGCGGGGCAACCCGUUCAACCAAGCCCUACUAAUAAAUCCUGAUUACGCUAUC
RNAcentral lists this ribosomal RNA (1808 nucleotides) under termite gut metagenome. RNAcentral describes it as "bacterial LSU rRNA". It matches the Rfam family "Bacterial large subunit ribosomal RNA", at positions 1129 to 2925 of the family's 2925-position model. The record is from RNAcentral.